Long non-coding RNA from Python bivittatus (Burmese python), 872 nucleotides. RefSeq lists it as uncharacterized. NCBI's taxonomy places the organism in Eukaryota, Metazoa, Chordata, Lepidosauria, Squamata, Pythonidae. The record is from RefSeq and is a predicted model, not a curated record.
ACAGUCCUCCGGGUUCACUGCUUCCUGCACUUGCACUGAGCGCUGGACGGGUCGAGUCCAAGUUCUCAAGGUUUGAGAGCUUGCAACAGGCAUCCAAUGAGGACUGUGCUGCAGAGAACGGUCGUGCCUUGUGGCCAUUCUUUGCACGAACGCCAACUCCUACAGCAGGAAGGAAGGAGAUUGCCAGCCAUUCUGGUAAAGCUAGAAGAAAUACAUGAAGAAAGAUUCUAGUCCACUGGAUCAUCCCCGGAGGAUUGUUCUGUGUGGUUCUGCUGCUUGUGCAGACCGGGUCACAGGCCCUUCCUCUCCGACAUCUUCAGAAUAAAGUUUGCUAACGUGAGCUCUCCCUUCUUGAAAAGCCCCAGCCAGCAACGUGAGAAGGCUAACCAUAGGUGGGAUACGUUAUGUGAGCCUGUUCUGAUACCAUCUGCCAUGGCUGAAAAGUGUGCAGUCCUCAUAAUGAAAGCUGAAGAGGCAACCAACAGCUGCUGAAGGAGAAUUGCAUCUCAUGGUGUCCUGUGCUAACAAAUCUGUCCAUUCUUGGAUUGCCAUCGACAGUCACACAGCAAGAGACCUGAACGCUGGAGGAAGAGGACUUUAUCACAUCUUCCAUCCAUUUUCAAGCCGACUUGAUCCCUGUAAAAGAUGGUAGAAGGGGCUGGUCUGGACAAGCCUCACCCUCACGAUGUCUUCCUUUCAGGCAGAAUAGAAGUGAAGGGAGAAUUAUUUGAAGAGCGCUUUGGAUGUUGGGUGUUUCAACCCCAUCCCGGUGGAAUUUUCUUCUCCUUUGGGACUUGAAAACUGAAAGCCAUUUCCAUCCAUCAAACUGAGCGUGAAGGGGAAGAAAAAUGACACUGCAGAAAUGUUCUGCA